GAAAAAUUACUUUAAAUAAUCCAACCUUUAGACGAUUUUUCGUUAAUAAUCCAACCUUUUGAUUAUUAUCUAAUAAUCCAACCUUUGCACCCCAUUAACUUUUAUUGCACCAAAAUGACGGAGAACCGGUUGAGAAGGUCAAAUUUAUAAAAAGAAAAAAAAUAUUAAUUUCUGCCUCCUUUUUACUCCUUCCUUUGUUUCUUUCACUGUUGAGCUCCUUCUACCUUUCAGCCAUGGUCUCAUGAAAGAACACCAUAAUUUCCGCCCCUUUAUACACUCACAACACCCAAAAAUCUCCCAUAAAAUACCAUAAAUCAAUGACCAUAACCACCGCAAAAGUACCACGAACCCAAUCAGCCUCGAAUAUCUCCUAUCUUUCUCUCUCGUUCCCCUGUUUUUCUCUCUCCUCCGCAACACCGUAUCCCCCUACGAGCAUCCUCGUCCCCCCCUCCCAGCUACCACCAGCCCUAUUAGAAAAGCUACCCUGCCUCCAUGAAACAUAGACCCUACAUGGAAGCUGUGGAGAGAGAAAUUGAGCAGUCGUUAAUGGCGACAACGACGAUGACACACAAGAGUUCAGAUGAUUCAAACUUUCUGUAAAUCAAGAUGAAGCAGAAGCAUCAAAAGACAAAAGCCCCAAAAACUGAAGAAGCAAAAGGGUGUAUUGGGAUUUGAUUUUAUUCGAUUUUGAUUUUGAUUUUGAUUUGAUGAAAAGUUUAAGUGAUUUUGAUUGAUACCAAAUGUCUGGAGUUUAAUUUCAUUAACAUAUUAGCAAAUUUGCGGUAUUUAAUUUGAUUAUUUUUUUUUAAUAUAUUGAUUUUAAUUUUGAUUUGGAUGAAUAGAGUUUAAUGUUGAAAGAGGAGGGAGGAAGGAGGAAGAAAUGAAAAAUAAAGAAAGUAUUUUUUUAAUUUUUUUUUCUUCAAAUUAUAACGAAUGGUUGUAUGACACGUGGUAUGUUACCUGCUGUAUCAGGUUAAUGACCGGUAAGGUGCAAUAAAAGUUAAUGAGGUGCAAAGGUUGGAUUAUUAUAUAAUAAUUAAAAGGUCGGAUUAUUAACGGAAAAUCGUCGAAAGGUUGGAUUAUUUAAAGUAAUUUUUCCAAUUUUUUAACACUCCUUCCCUUAUCAAGAGUCUCCUCGCACUGCAAAUUUCAUCUAGCAAUUAUCUUGAUAAUCAUCAAUUCAUCAACAUUACGCAAUCAUAUUCUUCAACUAGUUGUUACUGUCGUCAAUCAUCUUUGUUGUCGUCGUAGUCGAUAAGAUUAAUGAUAGAGGAAUCAAUGGCGACAAAUCAACUCUUACCCGAAGGUUCUAAUGUGGAUGAGAUUCAUCAAGAAGAAGACGAAACGAGCCUAGCCAUCACCAAUUACAAUCUGAAAAUGAAGAGCGUGUUGAACGUCAAAGGAGGAGAAAAUGAGACGCCUAACAAAUGCAGAAGCCCUAUGAGUAUAAUUAAGGAGUGGGUUCCUGUAUGUGAAGAUAAUUUGAAACCUCAAGAAGGUAUGGAGUUCGAUAACCUAGAGGAAUGUGAGAAAUUCUACAAAAAAUAUGCUCAUCAAGUCGGUUUUAGUGUCCGUAAAUCAUCUACCAAAAGGGAUAAAAAAAACUGGAUUGUUGAAGUAUAAAACUUGUGUUUGUGCAAAAGAGGGUUUUAGAGAAGCUAAAUACGCAGGUAAGCAAAAAGUACGAAAUGCGAAAUUGAGUAGGGAAGGGUGUGAGGCUUUGGUUGGUUUUAACCGAACGCCGGAGGAUAAAUAUGUAGUGUACAAGUUUCACGAAGGUCAUACCCAUUUACUUGCAACCCCUAGAAAGCGUCACAUGCUAAAAUCAAAUAGGGAAAUGACUAAUGUCCAUAGAUUCUUGUAUAAGGCAUUUGCUCGUGCCAAUGUUGGCGCAUGUAGAGUGCAUCGUUACAUAAAGGAACAAGUUGGUGGGGAUCAAAAUGUUGGAUGUAGUAAGCAUGAUUAGAAAAACUUCCAAAGAGAUUUGAGCCUUCAUAUUAAAGAUUAUGAUGUUGACAUGUUUAUUGAGAAUUUCAAGAGAAAACAAAAAAUCGAUCCUUCAUUUUAUUUUGCAUAUGAGAUAAACAAGGCCACACGCCAAUUGAGACAUGUGUUUUGGGCAGAUGACAUUUCUAGAAAAAAUUAUGCAUUAUAUGGAGAUGUUGUGUCAUUUGAUACUACUUAUGACACUAACAGAUAUAAGAUGAUCUUUUCUCCAUUUACUGGUCUUGAUAAUCACAGACUUUGUAUUACAUUUGGAGCAGCAUUUUUGGGGGAUGAGAAAGCUGAAUCUUUUUCGUGGUUAUUUAAAAAGUUCUUAGAUACAAUGGAGGGUCAUAAACCUGUUUGCAUCAUCACUGAUCAAGAUCCUGAUCAAAAAUGUUUUUGACACUUCUACUCAUAGGUUUUGCAUAUGGAAUAUAAUGAGAAAACUUUCAGAAAAGGUGGGAAGCACUUUGAGUAGUAAUGAAGUUUUUAAGAACCAAUUUAAGUCUUGUGUGUAUAAUUCAGAGACAAAGGAGGAAUUUGAAUCAUCUUGGAAAUCAGUUAUCAAUGAAUUUGAGUUUCAAAAUAAUGAUUGGCUUUCUCAGAUGUUUUCAAUUAGGAACUUGUGGAUACCAGCUUAUUUCAGAGAUGUUUUCAUAAGAGCUAUAUUAUGGACAACGUCGAGGUCUGAAAGUGAAAAGUUUUUUUUGUAGUUUCACAAAUCCGCUUUGAGUCUAGUGGAGUUCUAGAUGCAAUUUGAGAGUGCUGUAGAAUCACACAGACAUUCUCAAUCAAUGUCUGACAAUGAUAACUUUUCUUUAAUUCCCGAACUAAGAACAAAUAGGGAUUUGGAGAGACAUGCAAGUCAAGUCUACACUUUCACUAACUUUUACAAGUUUCAAGAGCAGUUGUAGCUUGCUUGUAUGGAUUGUAAAGUUGAGGACAAGAAAGAGACAGAAGAGGGACUAGUUAUAACAAUAUCUAAUCAUGCUCGAAAAAAUGGGAAGAUGCGUGAGGUUGUAUAUAACUCUCUCAGUCAUGUGGCACGCUGUUCGUGCAAAAUGUUUCAAUGUGAAGGCAUUCCAUGCCGACAUAUAUUAUGCAUUCUGAAGGGAAAAGGUUUGUCUGAAGUUCCAGGUUGCUAUAUCUUGAACAGAUGGACCAAGAUGGCAGCAAGCAAGUCAAUUUUUAACGUGUCUAGUAACCUUUUGGAAGGUUGUUCCAAAAGAGAUAAUGAGGAUAAGCUCAUUUCUAAUAAUUGGUUGGAAUUCAUGAACUGCAUGAAUUUGGCAGGAAGAGACCCUGAUAAACUAACUCUUAUCUCAAAUGAAUUACAAAAUGUGUCAAAACAAUUAAAAGAGUUUGAGAGUAAUCCCACUGAGAGCAAGACACAAGAGUUGGAAUCUUUUAUCGGAUCAAGUGCAUCAAAAGAAGUUGAGAUUCUUCCACCAAAAUAAUCGAAUACAAAAGGAUCUGGUAAACGUAUGAAAGGGGGAAAAGAGAAGGCAAUGGAACAACAAGAAAAGAAACAGAGACAUUGUAAAAGUUGUGGUCAUUUGGCAUACCAUGAUAGCCGCAAUUUCCCUGCAAAGCUCUCUAUUUAACCAGGGUGUUCUGUUGAUGUGAUGUUGUCUGUGGCUACUAUUUUGGCUCUAGCUGGUGGUGGUGGUAGUGGUGGUGGUAUUGCUGAUUCUGAUGUGGUGGUGAUGGUUAUGGUGCUGCUUUUGAUGUGGUGUUGAUGCAGUCGUUUAUUUUCUACCACCUGCUGCUGUUUUUUUCAUUGGAUAAUAUGGAAAAUUUUGUGCUGGUUCAGCUUCAGUACUUGUUUGAGCAAUAAGCUGAAGUAUGUAUUAUGUAUCAUUGUUUUAGGGUGACAGUUUGAUAUCAAACUCAAUUGUGUCAUGUGAGCAGUUGAUGUACUUAAGAAGUCGGAAUAUUGGCUUAUGCAGAAGACAACUUUAUAAAAAUUUCCUCCUUGUUGCAAGGUUAGAUAAUGUGACUAUUGGAUCAAACUAAACAUCAUUAAUAAUGAUGUCAAUAUGGGAAUUGUAUUAUGCUUCAGAUCAAUUCACAGGAUACUAAUUGCUAGAUCAAUCAUACCAAUCAUGAUUCAUGAGGAGGCAACACUGGCACAAGAAAUUAGUAUCUGGCCUGCAGUUCUACCAGCCUGACAGUAUGUGUUCAUCUGAAAUCGUUUGAGUCGGGUUUCACAAGUUUGAGUUGUAGAGAUGAAGAAGAGAAUCCUAAUGAUUUGGGGUUUCACAAGUUGGGCUACUGGUCUAACUAGUCUACACUCUAGUAAACUGUC
Spinacia oleracea (spinach) is the source of this 4294-nucleotide long non-coding RNA. RefSeq lists it as uncharacterized. The record is from RefSeq and is a predicted model, not a curated record. Lineage: Eukaryota; Viridiplantae; Streptophyta; Magnoliopsida; Caryophyllales; Amaranthaceae. The transcript has 3 exons.